Molecule: small nucleolar RNA, 94 nt
Organism: Callithrix jacchus (white-tufted-ear marmoset)
Lineage: Eukaryota; Metazoa; Chordata; Mammalia; Primates; Cebidae
Source: Ensembl
GUACCCCAUUUAAGGUUGACACAGUGCUUUAAGAGGCUAACACAGAAGGGUAAAGUAAGUCUCCACAGCUGGACUCCUGCCUGGAGUCACAGCU